UACGUAGGGUGCGAGCGUUAAUCGGAAUUACUGGGCGUAAAGCGUGCGCAGGCGGUUAUUUAAGUCAGGUGUGAAAGCCCUGGGCUUAACCUAGGAAUUGCGCUUGAGACUGGAUAGCUUGGAGUGCGGCAGAGGGAGGUGGAAUUCCACGUGUAGCAGUGAAAUGCGUAGAUAUCUGGAGGAACACCGGUGGCGAAGGCGGCAUCCUGGACCAAUUCUGACGCUGAGGAGCGAAAGCCAGGGGAGCAAACGGG
This 254-nucleotide ribosomal RNA is filed under the name uncultured bacterium. RNAcentral describes it as "partial 16S ribosomal RNA". It matches the Rfam family "Bacterial small subunit ribosomal RNA", at positions 524 to 776 of the family's 1533-position model. The record is from RNAcentral.